GCCUUGGCUUCUUAGAAGCCAGCCAGCCAGCCAGGAGGGACUGGGGUGGGCUUAGCCCAGUGGGGUGGAUCCUGCCAGAAAAUAAAAUGGAAAAACGGCUCUUUGGGAUCUGAAGAGGGAUACCUUGUUCCAAAGUGAUUCCCCAUACUUGGUGAGUCCCCAGAAUGGCUUUUCUCUAUGUCCCCUGCAUCUCCAUAAGCGCCCACUCUAGAGAACCUAGUCUGUGCAUUGAGGGGGUGCAUUCAGCACCCCUUUAAUAAUGAGCACCAAGGUGAUGAGUUUUAAAUCUUGUCCUAAAAGCGAUUUUGUUUGCUUUCCAGUCCUGUUGGUGAUUUUAAUUGAAUCCAAAUAGCAUUAGGCAAUGGGUUGGAGUCAUUUAUACCCAUUCCCUUACUCUUCAAUUCAGCAAGCUGCCAAAACAUCCCUCUCUUCCCUGGAUCCAAAAGAGAUCAUUUGAUAUCUUGUCCCUCUGCUGCUGUGGGUUUUGUUGUUGUUGUUGUUGUUGUUGUUUUGCUUUAUUUUGGUUUGUGGCAGUUAUCACUGUAAUAUGACAAUCUUGCUGCCUGGCUUUGCCCAGACCCUGGGGCCCGAAUGGGAAGUCAGACCGGACAUCAGUGGCCCAACUGAAUAAUCUGUGUCACUAGGGCUUUGAGCCCAGGAUGUGAGCGGAGGCAAUUCCCUGUUUUGGAAGAAAAUCAGACAGGAAACCAGUGCUAGGAAGAAGGAAGAGAACUCAGUCCAGCAGGGUGUAAUGGGGCCUCAUUACCGAAGCAAAAAGCAGCUGUGGGCUAAUUCCUAGCAUGCUGUAACACAUGAGGAUUUUGCAAUUAGUAAUAACUAGUGCACGGGCUUCUCGCAUAUACGCCUGCCUGCUUGGCCCGGCAGCUUGAGUGAGGUGCCUUUCAAACCAGAGGGAUUGGCAAGGAACUUGAAGCAUGAAAAAUAUUUCCUGUUCCAGUUAUAGUUUUAAUCUCAAAGGUUGGUCAUUGGCAAUUUUAUUUUGUCAAUAAUAGUUGCAUACACCUCCCCCUCCUGGCCUUUUCUGUUUAUUGUUGUUGUUUUCUCUCUCUUCUAACUUUCCUAGGAAAACACCUCCCAGAUAUAUGCCCUGCCUGGCUGCUCGACUAUUACCGCUUCAGAGCCUGAGCAUUACGCAAUCAGCCAGUUACACAAACACAGGUCAUUUCAUAACUUGUUUUCAUCAGCUGGGCCCCCUUUUAAUGAAAAAACAAAACAAAAACAAGACCCAGAACUUUUCCAAGGCUGCCAUUUGUCUGUUCCUCAGAUAACUUGUGAAAAUAAACCAAGAGGGACAGUUCCUUUCUGGAAUCAAGGAAUACCAGACUAGCUCUCGUCCUCGGCAACCGCCCUUUCCCAAGAGACAGACAGACACACACACACACACACACACACACACACACACACACAAAAUUCCCCGGAGUGAACUUUUGCCAACUGUACCAGGCUGGGACAUUCCUCACAUCAAAGAACUUUUACCAGAAAUGACUGUGAUUCCCAAGUCUGUCCCAAUCACACCUCUUUAGUGCCCCCUACGGGACAUUCUUAGAAGAGCUGUCUGGGGAAGGUAUUUUUCCAGCCUCAGACAGUGUUAACUUGGUGAGUUUUCGGAAUUCUUAGGAUUUUUUUCUUUUUAAUUCGGGAUAAAUAAAUGCCAUAUAUUUAA
This is a long non-coding RNA of Nyctereutes procyonoides (raccoon dog), 1684 nucleotides long. RefSeq lists it as uncharacterized. NCBI's taxonomy places the organism in Eukaryota, Metazoa, Chordata, Mammalia, Carnivora, Canidae. The transcript is spliced from 2 exons. The record is from RefSeq and is a predicted model, not a curated record.